Cryptococcus amylolentus CBS 6039 is the source of this 89-nucleotide transfer RNA. It matches the Rfam family "tRNA". Rfam says of the family: Transfer RNA (tRNA) molecules are approximately 80 nucleotides in length. Their secondary structure includes four short double-helical elements and three loops (D, anti-codon, and T loops). The record is from Rfam. NCBI's taxonomy places the organism in Eukaryota, Fungi, Basidiomycota, Tremellomycetes, Tremellales, Cryptococcaceae.
GGCGAAGUGUCCGAGUGGUUAUGGAGUGUCGUUCAGGUACUGAGUUACCGGCAUGCUUAUGCGCGCGGGUUCAAAUCCCGUCUUCGUCA